UAAAACCUAGGAGAAAGUUUCUGAUUCCACAUCUUCCUUAGUGAAUGAUGUCUGUAAGGUUGGAGUUUUAGGUCUACUAGGUCCCCAACUUAAAACGACCGAUCGGAUCUUUACUUGUCUGCUAACUGCUUCAUUCGCUCUCUAGCUCGUUUCAAGUGGAACCUAAUGAGCUUCCUUAAGGUUUCUCGAUGCUGAAGUGUUCUGACUACCUUGGCUACCGUGGAAGACCCUAGCAAAUAUGAGAGGUGAAUGGGAGGGUCGGGUAUUGGCAAGGGUUGCAAUAAUCCAAGAUGAGUCCUUCUAGAUAAGGCAUUAGCCAGAUGUUUUGAGAUCCCUUUCGAUAAACAAUGGAGUAGUUGUACCCCAGCAUUUUGGACACCCACUUCUGUUGAUAUGGGGUAAUGGCCUGUUGCUCAGAGAGGAAUUCCAGACUUUAGUGGUCUAUCUUGAUAAUAAAGGGUCUCCCAACAAGCUCCAAUGCCAUUACCAAAUGCAUCUGUCUCCACACGGAAGGGUUUACGAAAAUCUGGAAGAGCUAGUACUGGUGCUAUACAAAUAGCGUCUUUAAGAGCUUGAAAGUUGUUUGUACAGAUUCUGUCCAAUGCCACUGUUGGUCUUUCUUUAAUAGUGAAGUGAGUGGUUGAACCAUGGCUCCAUACCCUUUAAUGAACCUCCUGUAGUAGCCAGAUAGCCCCAAGAAGCCUCUAAGUUCCUUGAUGUUCUUAAGUAUAGGCCAAGAGAGAACUUCUAUCUUCGACGAGUCCAUGCUGACAGUCCCUGCUGUUAUAGCAUGGCCUAGAUACUCAACUUAAGCAAUGGCAAAACUACAUUUAUUUUUCUUA
Gossypium raimondii (Peruvian cotton) is the source of this 842-nucleotide long non-coding RNA. RefSeq lists it as uncharacterized. The transcript has 3 exons. Lineage: Eukaryota; Viridiplantae; Streptophyta; Magnoliopsida; Malvales; Malvaceae. The record is from RefSeq and is a predicted model, not a curated record.